GCUCGAGUGGCGAACGGGUGAGUAACACGUGAGUAACCUGCCCUUGACUUUGGGAUAACUUCAGGAACCUGGGGCUAAUACCGGAUAGGAGCUCCUGCUGCAUGGUGGGGGUUGGAAAGUUUCGGCGGUUGGGGAUGGACUCGCGGCUUAUCAGCUUGUUGGUGGGGUAGUGGCUUACCAAGGCUUUGACGGGUAGCCGGCCUGAGAGGGUGACCGGCCACAUUGGGACUGAGAUACGGCCCAG
Molecule: ribosomal RNA, 244 nt
Filed under: uncultured Actinomycetales bacterium
Lineage: Bacteria; Bacillati; Actinomycetota; Actinomycetes; Actinomycetales
Description: partial 16S ribosomal RNA
Rfam family: Bacterial small subunit ribosomal RNA
Source: RNAcentral